Molecule: long non-coding RNA, 1458 nt
Filed under: Homo sapiens (human)
Lineage: Eukaryota; Metazoa; Chordata; Mammalia; Primates; Hominidae
Description: HSALNT0054639
Source: RNAcentral
AUGAUGAUUGAUCCGCCGUGCGCACGCCAGCGCGUUCCUCUGUGGCAGGAGAGGGGGGCCUGCGUGUGACCGAGCGUGCGUGGGAGGACGCGCGUGUGUGUCUGUGCGCCCUGAUCACGGUGGUCUGUGGGUGGGGCGGAUCGUGCGCGCGCGCCCGAUCUGUGCGCCCCAAGCCAGGAGCCUUGCCUUACUGGUACCAGUACCUGCCUGCUGCUACCAACUAGUCAACAUGUGGCAUCUUCCAGGCCACUGUGAUGAGUCAGGGAUGAGCAUCUGACUCUGGUUGGUCCAAUCAGCUUGUCCAGGGACUUUGGCUGGGAAGAUUGGAAAGGAGGCCAGCUUUUUGGGCUGGGGUUGCUGAGAGAUGUGAUGAUGAAAUGUGUGGCCUACCUGGCAUCUGGCCCCAGCUUCAGCUCCAUUUACUGUCUUGCUCCCCACCCUCACUAGCCUGCAUUGAGGCCUCCUCUGUGCCCCCCAACCCCUGAGUUUCUCAUCCCCAGAGAGCCCAGCUACACAGAAUUGAAGGGUUUUCUCAUUCAUCUUCCUGCGCUCACCCUGAAGACUGGGCCUAUGUCAUCUGCUAACCACUGUCCCCCCAGCACUCACAGUGGAAAAUGGAGUGUUAUGCAGCCCUGCAGCUUGCCUUCUAGAACAGUUCACAGGCAAGGCCUCCCACACUGAACCCUGCUACAGCCAGAUGGUGCCAGCAACACAGAGCUACUUGUUACAUCAGCUCAGACUAAGCCACACCCACAGGAGCAUCUGGUGAUUCCACAGAACCACAAGAGACUUGACCUCCUGGAAAUGAAUUAACCAAGAUUAAUGAAAAAGAUUAAGGUCAUGUGCCCUGUAAAAAUGUCCCUCACUGGAUGAACUGUGACAAAGUAGGGUACUGCGUGGUCUCCCCAGCUGACCCUCUCCAUGGGUCAUUCUUUGCUUUUAUCACUACCUGGCACAAAUCUUUACGUAUUUGUUUAUCGUCUUCCCUCCACCAGUAGUUAGGUGUUUGCCCUUGCUGUAUCCCCUGUGCCUAGAACAGUGCCCAACAUUGGCAGGUGGCCAAUAAUUGCAAAAUAAGCAAAUGUAUGAAUGAACCAUUAGGAACUGCUACCAUCACUGCAGGGGGCUUGGUGGGCAGAGGCCUGGCUUGUCUCCAUUAGCACUGCGUUCCUGUGCCCAGUGUGGCCCCAGCAGACACUGUGGGUUCAGUCAAUCAGCCCCCAGGCUGGUCUGGGACUGAGUCAUCGGAGGGAGUGUGAAGGGGACACUGCGGCUGACCGCCUGGUGACAGCUAGCCAGUGGUUGAGAGACCGCAAGAUGGUUCCUCGUCUUUCACUUCCCUCCGUCCCAGGCCAGUAAGGAUCCUGCUGUCUAUUCCGCGAAGACAUCUUGAAUGCAGGGACAGCCAUUUGGAAGACUGUCCUCGAGGGUGGCAGCAGCCUCUCAGGACGGGGAAAG